AUCAAAACCAGUAUUGGGAAAAAAGCUAUUUGCUAUGCUGUAUUUCUCUGUCAUGCAUGUAGUGUAAAAUAAAGGUUCAAUAAGUGUAGUUAACAGUUAUCCUUGCAUCUUAUACUUUUUCCUUGUACGCAAACACACACACACACAAAAAUAAAUGAUUAUAUCCAAAAGAAACUCUUAAGUUCAUUAAAUAGCUAAUAAGAUAUUCAAUACAACUUCAUAAAUUAAUGUAGAUUCAUUUUUUAUAGAAAAUUAGAGACAUGUAUGAACUAAAAUGUACACUUUCAUGGGAACAUAUUGGAU
This 303-nucleotide long non-coding RNA is filed under the name Theobroma cacao (cacao). RNAcentral's name for it is "long non-coding RNA (TCAC_LNC000238)". The record is from RNAcentral. Lineage: Eukaryota; Viridiplantae; Streptophyta; Magnoliopsida; Malvales; Malvaceae.